UGGGUCAAAAUUUGCAUCUGGGUUGGAAGGAAAGGUCGGUUGCCAUGUGCAAGGCAGACACGUGAGGACAUCUACGCUUAUCACAAUGUAAAGGAGACUGGGCUAUGGGGAGGCUCAGAGCAGCUAUUCAACCUGCCUUCCAAGCAAGGGAGGCAGACUCCAAAUUUCAAAGGAAGGACUAGAGAACUUGAGCCGUGGAGGAAGCCAGAUGGACCACAGGACAAGUCAGCCACAGUCAGCCCCCAAAUCUAACUGCACUCAGAACCACACAGACAGCACCUCUCACGGUGCUUGGACAUCUGCGGGGUGUGUUCUAAAGGUCAACGGGCAAUUCACCCAUCUAACCAGGCCCAGCCUCGCUUAGCUUCGGAGAUCACCUGGGAUCGGCACAUUCUAGGGGGUGACUGGAGACUCAUCUGGCCAUUCUGGGAGGCAGCAGGGACGGAAGGUGUGUUUGGUACUGUUGCCAGUGCCAACGGUCAUUCCUUCAUACUCUGGAGAUGGGCAACACGGAAGAUCGUCUGAGUUGAGACCUCAGGACCCAAGAGCUCCAUGUGACAAAACCCUGGGCUGACAGGACAGCUCAACUCUGCUGCUUCAGUAGGCUGCCGGACCAUUGUGAAGCCAGGCAGAGCAGAGCUGGCCCGAGACCCACAGCUUCACAAGUCAACAGAACAAGGACUGGAGGCAGAGCAAGGAGAUAAAGGGAAGAGACAGGAGACACAAAACAAACAAACAAACAAAACAAACUCUGUAUGGAGUUUGUAUAUCAUAAGGAAACAGGUAACUUCAUAAUACUAUUUUAAAUAUGCAUGAAUGGAUUGUGGUGGUUUGAAUAAAAAUGGCCCCCAG
Non-coding RNA from Rattus norvegicus (Norway rat), 852 nucleotides. Lineage: Eukaryota; Metazoa; Chordata; Mammalia; Rodentia; Muridae. The record is from RefSeq and is a predicted model, not a curated record.